Non-coding RNA from Paramuricea clavata, 533 nucleotides. The record is from the annotation of a GenBank genome assembly. Lineage: Eukaryota; Metazoa; Cnidaria; Anthozoa; Malacalcyonacea; Plexauridae.
AUACAUUACCAUUUUUCCAUAUUUUAGAAAGCCAUCGAGUCCCUGAUCGAAAAACAAUAUUUGGAACGAAAAGGAGGUAGCAAAGAUGAAUAUACGUACUUGGCGUAAAUUUAAAAGUUGAUAAAAUGGCCAAUUCGGCUGCAUAUGGUGCCGUGUGGAGAAAUGAAUUAUUCUUUGAUGUAACACUGAAUACUGAGAUAUAUGUCAACUUGGACGGUUUAUAAAAUUCAACAAUACAUUGUCAAGGUUGAAGCAGACCUUCCUUUAAAUUAAUUAACUUUUUAUAAUCUGUAACUUCUAUAAGUAUUUAUCAAUCUAAAUUUAGCAGUUUUUUCCUCAUUUUUCUACCUGAUAACUUUUUAAGAAGUUAGUAGUCCGCUCUUAUUGAAGGAAAACGUCAAGGUGUAUUUAAAACGCGGUGUCAAAGUGUCAUAAAAAGUAUAUAAAAAGUUGCAAAAAGUCAUCAAUGUUCCUCCGGGUAAAAUUUCAGAUUUUCAAUCCUUCCUCAAAAUAAUGUGGAUAAUCCUUUUCAA